RNAcentral lists this long non-coding RNA (1150 nucleotides) under Homo sapiens (human). RNAcentral's name for it is "long non-coding RNA NONHSAT211760.1". Lineage: Eukaryota; Metazoa; Chordata; Mammalia; Primates; Hominidae. The record is from RNAcentral.
CUUUCUAAUAAGAACAACCAUAAGUCCUGGUCCUGUUUUACUUCACAAGAUAUGGAAUAUCACAUAGAAGUCAUGAAAAAGAAGAUGUAUAUUUUUAGGGGCAAAAUGUCUAGAAGAACUCUUCUACCAAUUCCCACUGUUGCAGGAAAGAUGGAUCUGGAUCAGAAUUGUUCAGAGAACAAGCCACCGUCAAACGAAAGGAUAAUACUUCAUGCAAUUGAAUCUGUGGUUAUUGAAUGGUCACAUCAAAUCCAAGAAAUUAUAGAAAGAGAUUCAGUGCAGCGUUUGUUGAAUGGUCUUCACUUGUCUCCUCAAGCAGAACUAGAUUUCUGGAUGAUGAGGAGAGAAAAUCUGUCAUGCAUUUAUGAUCAAGUAAGCACCUGUUGUCCUCAAAAUGGUUAAGAUCCUGACAACUAAACAAAGCAGCUAUUUUCCUACUCUGAAGGACAUUUUUCUGGCUGUGGAAAAUGGUAAGACUCUUGUUCCUCAGCCUGGCAUCAAUAUCACCAUCUGCUCAUGAUCCAGCCCCUGCCUGCUCGGCCUUGAUAUUUACCCUUCCGCCAUGUUUGUGGAGUGAUUGCUCAUGGCUCUUCUAAUGAUAAAUUCAUCUCACCCUUUGUACUAUAUUCUCCACCCAUACUAAACUACUUUUAGUUUAUCUGGUAUAUAGUAGUACCUGCCAAAAUGGCUCCAGAUUGAAAUUUUAAUUAGAAUGUUUGUGGAGGAGUGAGGCCUUCAUUCGGAGUUAAAAAAAAAAAAUAAGUCUGGAUAGAGGUUUUCCAAUCAACAGAUUGGGCUAUGGUGAGUCUAGUUAUUCAUCAGUUCAGUUCUCUGAGUGUGCUUGGUAACCAGUUAUUUAGCUUGCAAACACUCAAAGCCAUCAUUGAAGUUUUGGUGAAGAUUAAAUGUACAGAGUGGAGGGUUUGUUGAACUUUGAAUAGACAAUGCAUGCAUCUUGUUACAAACCAGGAAUCAUAAAAUGAUAUCCAGUCGAAAGUCUUCUCACCAUCCUUGUCCUUCCACUCUCUAGUUUCAGCCCCACCCAAAGAUGACAACCCUGCUCAGUUCCUUGAUUUCUGUUCAUGUUUCUUUGCACAUGUAUAAGCAUUUAGUUAUGGAUAUACAUGAUACUGUGGUUUUAAAUAAUAAA